UGUGUCUAACUAUCUUUCUUUCUCACGCUAUACAGCCUUGAUCAAAUAUAUAUCCUCAUUUUUCUUUACACCUAAAUCCUACAAAGCCCUGCCUCAUUUUAAGUAUUGUAGCCCCUGAUCACUGAUACCCUGUCCAAGUGAUGUAGGGCCCCGUAACGUAUGACAAGGCUCUGCCUAAAUUCGUUGGGGGUUCUGUCUCGUGACGUAGGGAUAAAGUAGAAUUGGGUUGCUAUACUUAAUGUGAGUGCACUAUAUAUUUUAUUAAAUAACCCAUGAGUGAUACCCAAAAUAGAACAACCCUCCUAAAACACCCCUGACACCCAUACACUUCCUAAAAUACACCCCGUAUGUGAAAACCGAACCCGAAAUACAAUAUAUUAUUAAAAAUAAUUAAAAAUAAGAAAAUAUGAGUUGAGGCGGGCCGCAUAGACCCACCCUAACCUUUAACACGGGCCGCAAUAAGGUGUAACCGGACUCUGCUGGAAUCUUUAGUUCAUGCGGGCCGCGUAAGAUAUCGUUAAGUUAACGCGGGCCGCGAGAGAUCGAAGUUGUGGCGCAGCCCGGUGAUGACACGUGUCAUCAUCGUGGCGGGUCUAGGGGGUGAGCCGGACAAGCUAGUCCGUUGACCAGGAUUGACGCGGGCCGCAUAAUCCCUGUCCAUUCUUUACGCGGGCCGCGUGGGAACCAGUUUCAGCAACUAUAUAAGGAACGCAUCGGAUUUCAAUUCAGUUCGUUCAUUUCUCAAUUCUCAAUCACAAUUUCUGUAGUAGGCUUAUUAUACUCGGGUAUUAUACCCCCUAAUUAGCGAAGCUCUGCCUCGUUAUUAUAACCAGAAAGUCACAAAGGAAAGCCCUAUAAUAGCAAUGUAACUUAGUGUGAAGCCAAUAAAAGCCAGCUGGAGAGCACUGAAGGCUUGGAAGAGUGGCAAUAAAGUUACAUAAAAUAAAAUAGAUGUUUUUACUAAAUAAAAUAGGAUUUAUUCCUAUGAAAAUGUGUGUACCACAAACUUGGGUUUUACCCAUGUGUUUAAUGUUAUAAAAUGUGGUGGUUUACUCUGAUAAAAU
Molecule: long non-coding RNA, 1064 nt
Organism: Helianthus annuus (common sunflower)
Lineage: Eukaryota; Viridiplantae; Streptophyta; Magnoliopsida; Asterales; Asteraceae
Exons: 3
Source: RefSeq, a predicted model, not a curated record